UGUGGUCCAAUGAAUGUUGAGGCUCGCGGUGGGUAUCGUUAUUUUCUCACCUUCACAGAUGAUUUGAGCAGAUAUGGGUAUAUCUACUUGAUGAAACACAAGUCUGAAACAUUUGAAAAGUUCAAAGAAUUUCAGAGUGAAGUGGAAAAUCAUCGUAACAAGAAAAUAAAGUUUCUACGAUCUGAUCGUGGAGGUGAAUAUUUGAGUUACGAGUUUGGUCUACACUUGAAACAAUGUGGAAUAGUUUCGCAACUCACGCCACCUGGAACACCACAACGAAAUGGUGUGUCCGAACGUCGUAAUCGUACUUUACUUGAUAUGGUGCGAUCUAUGAUGUCUUUUACUGAUUUACCGCUAUCGUUUUGGGGUUAUGCUUUAGAGACGGCCGCAUUCACGUUAAAUAGGGCACCAUCAAAAUCCGUUGAGACGACACCUUAU
This 438-nucleotide ribosomal RNA is filed under the name Triticum aestivum (bread wheat). RNAcentral describes it as "partial small subunit ribosomal RNA". The record is from RNAcentral. Lineage: Eukaryota; Viridiplantae; Streptophyta; Magnoliopsida; Poales; Poaceae.